CAGCCCCUCGAGUGGUGGGGAUGAUUAUUUGGCCUAAAGCGUCCGUAGCCGGCCGUGUAAGUCUCCCGUUAAAUCCAGCGUCUCAAGCGUUGGACUGCGGGAGAUACUGCUCGGCUAGAGAGUGGGAGAGGUGUGCGGUAUUCUGGGGGUAGGGGCGAAAUCCUUUGAUCCCCGGAGGACCACCAGUGGCGAAGGCUGCACACUAGAACACGUCUGACGGUCAGGGACGAAAGCUGGGGUAGCGAACCGGAUUAGAUACCCGAGUAGUCC
Molecule: ribosomal RNA, 270 nt
Filed under: uncultured archaeon
Lineage: Archaea
Description: partial 16S ribosomal RNA
Rfam family: Archaeal small subunit ribosomal RNA
Source: RNAcentral